Molecule: transfer RNA, 91 nt
Filed under: Pseudobdellovibrionaceae bacterium
Lineage: Bacteria; Pseudomonadati; Bdellovibrionota; Bdellovibrionia; Bdellovibrionales; Pseudobdellovibrionaceae
Description: Bdellovibrionaceae bacterium (activated sludge metagenome) tRNA-Ser
Rfam family: tRNA
About the family: Transfer RNA (tRNA) molecules are approximately 80 nucleotides in length. Their secondary structure includes four short double-helical elements and three loops (D, anti-codon, and T loops).
Source: RNAcentral
GGAGAGGUGUCCGAGUGGCUGAAGGAGCUCGACUCGAAAUCGAGUAGGCAUCAAAAGUGUCUCGCGGGUUCAAAUCCCGCCCUCUCCGCCA